Molecule: long non-coding RNA, 1763 nt
Filed under: Marmota monax (woodchuck)
Lineage: Eukaryota; Metazoa; Chordata; Mammalia; Rodentia; Sciuridae
Source: RNAcentral
CUGUAGGGAUGCUGCUGGGUUCUGGAGCUUACAUCUUAUUCUGUAGAUGCUGCUUGAUGCACUACUUAAGCCAGUACAGAGAACAAAGAGGGCACUCAACAAGUAUUUGUUUAAUGAAUGAAGUCAUUGGGAAGUGGUUUGUAGGCUGGGUGGGCAAAAACGGGCUGCCAGAAGAUCAGGGGAUAAGGGUGUCAACCAGGCAGUUAGGAUCAGCCAGAAAGGAUAGAUUGAAAGAGCAUGGGAAGGAAAAACUGGUGCAAUAACAAAGUCCCUUAGACUUAUUGUUAAUGAACAAUAGAAAUUCAUCUCUCACAGUUUUGGGGGCUGGGAAGUUCAAGAUCAAAGCACUGGCAGGUUCGGAAUCUGGUGAGCGCCAGGUCUCUGCUUCCAAGAUGGUGCUUUGAAUGCGGCUCUAUUGGGGGUGGACACUGUGUCUGCAUAUUGCAGAAGGAUCAGAAAGGCAAAAGGGUGUGGCUAGUUCCCAACAGCCCUUUUGUAAUGCAUUCUCCUAUCUGCAAGAGCACAGCCCUGAUAGCCUCACCUCCUCAAGGUCUAAACUCUGAACAACCAUUGCAGUGGUCUUAGGUUCCAAGGUGAAUUAUGUAGGGACACAUACCCUCAAACCAUAGCAGUGAUAGAAUAAAGGGAAAAAUACGUAUUAAGUCUUAAGCAUUUGGAUUUAGCAUCCCUAGAAAACAGCAAAAGAAAAAGUGUAGUAUAAUAAUAUGUGCUCCAAGAAGAUGAAACCCAAGAGUGGACAGAGAUUUAGACGUUAUUCUCAUAAAUGAUGGAUCAUGAGAUGGACAGGGUCUUGAUUCUGGAUGAGAUCAGGAAACCAAAGUAAGACUUGGAUAGUCAGAGACUGGGGGUCUCCCUAGAAACCACAAAGCAUCUCUUUAGUUCAUUUAAAGUAUUAUAGCAAUGGAAAUGCUGAGCAAUCUUGAGUGCUAUCUUGUUGUGCUAUCUUGAGUGUCCUCCAAAGGUCCAUGUGUUAGAGCCUUGGUCUCUGAAUUUGGUGCUGUUGGGAGGUGGUAGAAAUUUUAAGAGGUGGGACCCAGUGGGAGGUUUUUAGGUCACUUGGGGCUUGCCCUCUAAAGGGAUUGUGGGACUCCAGUCUUUUCCUCCCUUUAUCUUUUCUUACUUCCUGGCCAUGGGGUGAGCAACUUUGCUCUAUCUACCAUGUACUCCUGCUAUGAAGUGCUGCCUCACAUGGUGUCAAAGCCACAGGGACCAAUCAUGGACUGGAAUCUCCAAAACUAUGGGUUGAAAUAAAUCUUUUCUCUUUAUAAGUUGAUUAUCUCAGGUGUGUGUUAUAAUAACAGAAAGCUAACACACUUGGUAAUGUCUCACAAUAAUUGUUUUUUUUUAACUAAAAACAAAAAUCAGGAAAAAAUUAAAUAAACCUUAUAAUUCUGAUGUCCAGAAACUUCUCCCAUAUAAUCAAGAAGACACUGAGUAUGAAUUCCUACAAUAUUUGAGUUCUGAUACAUAGGUCUAGAACAGAGCCAUCCCACUGAGUUCAAUUAAUAGAAGACAUAGAAAUGUGUCACCAAUAAUAAUGACUAAAACAACUCUAAGACACUCUCAGAACUUUCCCAAAUGUGGCUAAUUCAAUCAUUACUUGGCAAAGCUGCUUUCAAGUUUAGAUUCAAAUGUGUUGCUCUGUGAAGUAUGAUUUUAUGUAAACCUUAUUCAAUUCUCAAUAGAUCUCAGAGCGAUGAUCUCUUUUGUCUUGCACCUGCUUCACAUUUGCUAAAGCCGGG